Molecule: ribosomal RNA, 761 nt
Filed under: uncultured Prevotella sp.
Lineage: Bacteria; Pseudomonadati; Bacteroidota; Bacteroidia; Bacteroidales; Prevotellaceae
Description: bacterial SSU rRNA
Rfam family: Bacterial small subunit ribosomal RNA
Source: RNAcentral
GAUGAACGCUGGCUACAGGCUUAACACAUGCAAGUCGAGGGGAAACGACGGGGAAGCUUGCUUCCCCGGGCGUCGACCGGCGCACGGGUGAGUAAACGCGUAUCCAACCUGCCUCUGACUGAGGGAUAACCCGUCGAAAGUCGGCCUAAUACCUCAUGGCAUCGUCUGCGGGCAUCCAACGACGAUUAAAGAUUUCAUCGGUCAGGGAUGGGGAUGCGUCUGAUUAGCUAGUUGGCGGGGUAACGGCCCACCAAGGCGACGAUCAGUAGGGGUUCUGAGAGGAAGGUCCCCCACAUUGGAACUGAGACACGGUCCAAACUCCUACGGGAGGCAGCAGUGAGGAAUAUUGGUCAAUGGGCGAGAGCCUGAACCAGCCAAGUAGCGUGCAGGAUGACGGCCCUAUGGGUUGUAAACUGCUUUUAUGCGGGGAUAAAGUGAGGGACGUGUCCUUCAUUGCAGGUACCGCAUGAAUAAGGACCGGCUAAUUCCGUGCCAGCAGCCGCGGUAAUACGGAAGGUCCGGGCGUUAUCCGGAUUUAUUGGGUUUAAAGGGAGCGUAGGCCGUGGAUUAAGCGUGUUGUGAAAUGCAGGUGCUCAACGUCUGCACUGCAGCGCGAACUGGUCCACUUGAGUGUGCACAACGCAGGCGGAAUUCGUCGUGUAGCGGUGAAAUGCUUAGAUAUGACGAAGAACUCCGAUUGCGAAGGCAGCUUGCGGGAGCACAACUGACGCUGAAGCUCGAAAGUGCGGGUAUCGAACAGG